AGACCAUUCGCGCGCUGGGGCGCGGCGGCGGCGCAGCGACAUAGAAAACACUUCCUUAGGGUUGGCUCGGCUCGGCUCGGCUAAGAUCAGUCUUGCCGGUGAAACGAGAACAUGCUGGCUCGGAAAUCCGUUCGUGUGAACUGCGAGGGACGCAAAGCCUCGGUGUGGGAAUGGUACAGCCUUUCGCGCCGGAAGGCGGGACUAUUGGCCUGCCAGGAAGGAGUCGGCCGGCUCGGCUCGUACUGCGCAGACUCAGAUGCCACCAUAUUGUGUGUAGGAGGAAACUUGAGUUUGGGGAAUUAUGUUUAUGUGAGUGUAGGUGCUUCAAACGAAAUAAAUUGUUUGGAAUACUAAAUAUCUCUAGAGAAACAGAGGUAAUCUACAAAAUGGCAGAUAGCUUGGAUGAAUUUAUUGAAGAGCAAAAAGCGAAACUGGCCAAAGACAAAGCAGAAUUGGAAAGUGAUCCACCGUACAUGGAGAUGAAGGGAAAGGCGUCAGAGAAACUCUCUGAAAACAGUAAAAUAUUAAUCUCUAUGGCUAAGGAGAACAUUCCACCAAGCAGCCAACAACAGCCCAAGGGACCCUUAGGAAUUGAAUAUGGCUUAAGUUUACCGCUUGGAGAAGAUUAUGAACAGAAGAAACAUAAAUUAAAAGAAGAAUUGAGGCAAGAUUAUAGACGAUAUCUUACUCAGGGCAUUACACAAGCAAAGAGAAAGAAAAAUUUCCUAUCUACUGGUGAAACAGACCCAUCUACUCUGGGAGUUUCUCUUCCCAUUGAUGAGCGGUUAUCUGCCAAGGAAAGAUUGAAACUUGAACGCAACCGAGAAUACAAUCAGUUUCUCAGGGGUAAGGCAGAAUCCACAGAAAAAGUCAGACAGGUAGAAAAGAAUAUUGAGCCUAAGAGUCAAAGAAAUAAAAACCCUAUUAGUCAAGGUAAAUCUGAUCUACCUUUACAAAUACAGACUGCAUACACACAUUCAGAGGGACCCUGGCUAAGCCGGCAAGAGGAGGGCCUGUACCGACAGCUAGAUGGUGAAAUUGAAUUAAGGAGCAGAAGACCGCUUAAACAAACAAAGGAAGAAGUAGGCAUUUCUGGUGCAGAACAUCCAAGCCUUUCUGGCAGCGCUGGUGUCCCAGAGAGAAGAGCCCGCAGGGCUAACGGGGAGCGGGUGCUUGACAGACAACAUUGCAGAGCCGACCGAGACCCUGGUGUGAGUGAAGACAUGGACGAGAGGUUUAGAUUUGAAAGUGAUUUUGAUAGAAGACUUUUGAGAGUGUAUACAAAUGGCAGGCCGCAUGGGAGCAGACGAGGGUAUGUGGAUGGGGAUGAUGUCCCAGAAGAGCCAAACACACAGAUCUCAGCUGCUGAAAAUAAAAGUGUUCACUGUAAUGGACCACCCAGAUCUGCUGAUCUCGAUAUCACAAGUCCAUUUGCAGGCAUGCUCUUUGGAGGUGAAGAUCGAGAACUUACCAAGAGAAGGAAGGAGAAAUAUAGGCAAGAACUACUAGAACAGAUAGCUGAGCAACAGAAGAAGAAGAGACGAGAAAAAGAUUUAGCAUUUGGAAUUACAACUUCUGGAGUACAAGACCCUGAAAAAUCGUGGAGUGGCUCCCACACAUCAUUGCAGUUAAGUAAGGAGGAGCCUGAUAGACUAAAGCAGUUUAGUUUGACACCAAGACACUUUGAAGAGAUGCCACCUGAGAGGCCCAGAGUAGCUUUCCAGACACCUCCCCCUCCCUUCUCUGCCCCGUCUAGCCCAUCCGUCCCACCAGUUCAUUCCGCCCCUUCUCACAAUGAAGACUUGCACAGUGGACUCGGCAGCACCCUUGGUGAACUGGCGCAUCCCAGGGUUCUGCCUGUGCCUCUGAAUCCACCCCCGCCUCCGCUCCUUGCCCCUCCAGCUUCUAACUAUCGAACUCCUUACGAUGAUGCGUACUAUUUUUACGGUGCCAGAAAUACACUGGAUCCCAAUAUUGUAUACUAUGGUUCAGGAAUGAUUGGAGGACAGCCUGCCCCUCAUGUCUCUGCCCCUGUCACUCACCAGGUAGCACCGCCAGCUGUGAAUACUGUUGGACAGAAUGAACAGAAAGUUCUUAGUGAUGGACUCAGGAAUUCAGGACUGGUCUUUGAGGAUAAGCCAAAACCUUCUACACAGUCGCUUCAGUCUUACCAAGAAGCUUUGCAGGAGCAGAUUCGGGAAAGAGAAGCAAGAAGGAAGAAAGAACGUUUAGAAAAAGAAGAAUAUGAAGCUAAAUUAGAAGCCGAAAUGAGGAUCUACAACCCCUGGGGGAAGGGCGGAGGUGGUGCUCCUCUCAGAGACGCCAAAGGAAAUCUGAUAACUGAUUUGAAUAGGAUGCACAGACAGAAUAUAGAUGCCUACCAUAACCCAGAUGCAAGAACAUAUGAAGAUAAAAGGGCUGUUGUAUCUAUAGACCAAAAUUUAGCCACUUCAAAUGCUGAGAACCUAGAAGAUUCUGCAAAUAAAAACUCAGGUCCUUUGCAAACACAAAGCUCUCCUUUUGCCCGGGGAAACACAUUUGGUGAGCCACUCAGCGAGCUUCAGAUUAAACAGCAAGAAUUAUACAAGAAUUUUCUUCGUUUUCAGAUUGAGGAAAAGAGACAAAGAGAAGAAGCCGAGCGCGAGAAGCUGAGAGUUGCUGAAGAGAAGGAAGAAAAGCGGCUUGCGGAGCAGAGGGCAAGGAUUCAGCAAGAGUAUGAGGAGGAGCAGGAGCGGAGGAGGGAGAAGGAGGAGGAGGUGUGUCUGUUUCUCCAGCCAAAGUGAAAGAGUUUUGGUGACUUGAGAAGAUGCGCGCAAAGGUUGAAAAAUGAAGAACUUAUUCGGUUAGCUGAAGAGAGGCGAAAGGAAGCGGAAAGAAAGAAGAAAGAGGAGGAAGAAAAACAUAACUUGCAACUUCAGCAUUACUAUGAGAGAGAAAAUAUUAUCGGAGAUGAAACAAAGCACUUGAGACAGCCUUCUCCUGUAGUUCCUGCUCUUCAGAACAAAAUUGCAAGCAAACUCCAAAGACCUCCUUCAGUCGACACCAUCAUAAGUUCCUUCAUUCACGAAAGCUCCAUGUCCCGGGCACAGUCUCCUCCAGUGCCUGCAAGGAAGAACCAACUCCGUGCAGAAGAGGAGAAAAAAAAUGUGAUUAUGGAGUUAUCAGAAAUGAGGAAGCAGCUCCGGAGCGAGGAGAGGCGUUUGCAGGGGCGGCUGCUGCACCUGGACAGUGACGACGAGAUCCCCAUGAGGAAAAGAGAGAGGAACCCAAUGGAUAUAUUUGACAUGGCUAGACAUCGGGUACAAGCCCCUGUCAGAAGACCAUCGCCUAAGGGCUUAGAUGCUACUACUUUUCAGAAUAUUCAUGACUUUAAUGAGCUGAGAGAGAGAGAUUCAGAUACUCGAGUGGAUCUGAGAUUAAUGUACCCAGAUCCUCCCCGCGAUCAUCACACCUUGGAGAUUCAGCAGCAGGCCCUACUCCGAGAGCAGCAGAAGAGGCUUAAUAGAAUAAAGAUGCGGAGAGAUGCAGGAGCUGAUUUGGACACCAUCUGCACUGAUAAUGCACAAGGGCGCAGAAUGCCCAGAGAUGACACUAAUGAUUUUUUGAAAAAUUCAUUACUAGAAUCUGAUAGUGCUUUUAUUGGUGCUUAUGGUGAGACAUAUCCUGUUAUUGAAGACAAUGCCUUCCCUCCACCAUCACAGCUGCCCUCUGCAAGGGAACGCAGGAGGAACAAAUUAAAAGGACUAGAUUUUGACAGUAGUCGGCUGCACACCCCACAAGAUGGUCUCUCUUUAAAAUCUAUCUCCAGUGUAAAUGUCGAUCAAGUUAGAAUGAGAAAUGAAGACAGAAUGAGAAGACUGACUGAGCAGCAGAAGAAACCCACUAACACAGAUGAUGAGGGUUCACUGGUUGAUCCUGAUGACAUCAUGAGACACCUGAGUGAUGAUGGACGCAACUCUGCGGCAACUGAGCCCUGGCUCCGCCCUGGCACUUCAGAAAGUCUGAAACGGUUCAUGGCAGAGCAUCUGAAUGAAGAACAGCAUAAGGGGCCUGGGAAGCCAGGCACGUUUACUUGGCAGGGCCUCUCUGCUGCACAUGCUUAAAAUAAACCCUCUCGGAUCCAGUAGUGCCUUUUACAGUGGAACGUUCACCUGUAUCUUGAAUACUAUGUCUUGCUUGUGGCCCUACUUUAAUAUUAGUUAUUUAUGUAAAGUGUAUUUUUCCCAUGAUGAUACGUUAUGUAUAUAUAAUGUACAUAAAAGCCCUGAUUAUUGGUUUCUAAUUGUAUAGAAUUAUUUUUGCAAUUUUGCUAUGGGUGGUAAUGAACUCUUGAUUGAGCUACCGUAUGUGCAUUAAAAUGUGCUUGCCAUUAAGAGGUGGUGAGCUAGAGUGUACACAGCACUGUGAAACAAUACACUGUUACUAGCCUACUUGCCACUGUUAGCAUUGUGGAGAAACAAUUCAGAGAGACUUGUUUUAUAUACUUGCUGUUGCUGUGACUAUGCCAGCUGCUAGGCAAUGAAAGAUUCAAACAAGCUGCUCAUUUUCAUAUCUGUAGUUACACAUUCCAUAGGAGCAAAGGGAUUUGUGAUCAUCCAUGAGCCAUGAUUAAAUGUUACAUUUUUCUGCCUCCAUCUUAUUUUUAUGCUGAUAGAAGCACAGACUGGGUUACUAAUUUAUCUGAUUUCACUAUUUCUUAACACAAAUAAAGUUCUAUUUUUAUUAAC
RNA transcript from Mus musculus (house mouse), 4727 nucleotides. It is a transcript of the gene named centrosome and spindle pole associated protein 1, with no coding region annotated. The record is from RefSeq and is marked validated. The transcript has 32 exons. Lineage: Eukaryota; Metazoa; Chordata; Mammalia; Rodentia; Muridae.